Thermoanaerobacter pseudethanolicus ATCC 33223 is the source of this 3730-nucleotide ribosomal RNA. It matches the Rfam family "Bacterial large subunit ribosomal RNA". The record is from Rfam. Lineage: Bacteria; Bacillati; Bacillota; Clostridia; Thermoanaerobacterales; Thermoanaerobacteraceae.
GGUCAAGUGAGGUAAGGGCAUAUGGUGGAUGCCUGGGCACUUGGAGCCGAAGAAGGACGCGGCAAGCGGCGAAACGCUCCGGGGAGCCGCAAGCGGGCGAAGAUCCGGAGGUCUCCGAAUGGGGGAACCCACUCGAGGUAAUACUCGAGUAUCCACUGAUGAACACAUAGUCAGUGGAGGGGAACCGCGCGAACUGAAACAUCUAAGUAGCGCGAGGAAAAGAAAGAAAAGAAUCGAUUCCCUAAGUAGCGGCGAGCGAAAGGGGAGGAGCCCAAACCCGGCACUCAAGUGGACAUGGAAUUAUAGGCAAAAAAGAUGAUAUAAUACGUGUCCACUUGAGUGCCGGGGGUUAGGGCCCACCGUAGAAGUGAGUGAGUACUCUAGGCGAACGGACCUGGAAAGGCCGGCCGGAGAAGGUGAAAGCCCUGUAGUCGAAAGGGGAAAGCUUGCUGGUGGGUACCAGAGUACCACGGGAUAGGCGACCCUGUGGGAAGGCGGGAGGACCACCUCCUAAGGCUAAAUACUCCCAAGUGACCGAUAGCGGAUAGUACCGUGAGGGAAAGGUGAAAAGAACCCCGGGAGGGGAGUGAAAGAGAACCUGAAACCAUAUGCCUACAAGCAGUCAGAGUCCGGCACUCAACCUAGUGUUUACUGGGUGAAUAGAGUAAGAGGGAUAGAAAGAGGUAGAAGUAGUUAAGAGAAGAGUAAGCACUAAGUUGAGUGCCGGAUGAUGGCGUACUUUUUGUAGAACGGGCCGGCGAGUUACGGUAGCAAGCGAGGUUAAGCGAAAAGCGGAGCCGAAGCGAAAGCGAGUCCGAAGAGGGCGGGAGUUUGCUGCCGUAGACCCGAAACCGUGCGACCUACCCAUGGCCAGGGUGAAGCCGGAGUAAGAUCUGGUGGAGGCCCGAACCACGUUGGCGUUGAAAAGCCAUGGGAUGAGCUGUGGGUAGAGGUGAAAUGCCAAUCGAGCACGGAGAUAGCUGGUUCUCCCCGAAAUAGCUUUAGGGCUAGCCUCAGGGUAGAACCUAUGGAGGUAGAGCACUGAAUGGGCUAGGGGCCAAGUAGGUUACCGAACCCUAUCAAACUCCGAAUGCCAUAGGGAGGAACCUGGGAGUCAGACUACGAGUGAUAAGAUCCGUAGUCGAGAGGGGAACAGCCCAGACCUCCAGCUAAGGUCCCGAAGGGCAUGUUAAGUGGUAAAGGAAGUGGGACUUCGGAGACAACCAGGAUGUUGGCUUAGAAGCAGCCAUACAUUUAAAGAGUGCGUAACAGCUCACUGGUCGAGAGGUCCUGCGCCGAAAAUGAACGGGGCUCAAACAUGCCACCGAAGCUGGGGCUAAACAGAAGUCAGAUGUGAGAGGUCAGAGGUGAGAAAAUGAUAAAGACGUAUAAGGAUCUCAGAAUAUAUCAACAAUCAUACAAGCUAAGCAUAGAGAUACACAAGCUAACCCAGAACUAUCCUGGGUAUGAAAGAUACGAAUUAGGGAGUCAACUAAGAAGGGCAGCAACAUCAAUACCGUUAAAUAUAGCCGAAGGAUAUGGAAAGAAAGAAUCAGAGGCAGAUUUUAAGAGGUAUUUAAAGAUAGCGCUUGGAUCAAGCAAUGAAAUAGAAGUAUUACUAGACUUAAGUUAUGACUUAGGAUAUAUAGAUAAGACAUUGCAUAACGAACUAAUAGAAGAAUACACAGCUUUAAGGAAGCAAAUAUACACGAUGAUAAAGAAGUGGAGAGUAUCCGACAUCUGACUUCCGACAUCUGACUUCUGUUUGGGGUAGGGGAGCGUACUGUACGGGUAGAAGGCAAAGCGUAAGCUAAGCUGGACUGUACAGUAGAGAGAAUGCCGGCAUGAGUAACGAGAGUAAGGUGAGAAACCUUACCGCCGGAAGCCUGAGGUUUCCUGGGGAAGGGUAAUCCACCCAGGGUAAGUCGGGGCCUAAGCCGAGGCGAGAGCGUAGGCGAUGGGGAACCGGUAGAGAAUCCGGUACCACCGAGGGCCGGUAAGAGAAGUGGGGACGCAGCGAGAUAGGUGGAGCGUGCGGUUGGUAGGGCACGUCCAAUCAGGCACCGAAGGGUACGUAGGCAAAUCCGCGUACAGGCAGGGGUCUGAGAAGGGGAGCCGGAAGGCGAAGCCACCGAAGCAGCUGCCGAGAAAAGCCGCUAUCGAGGUCCAAGGUGCCCGUACUGCAAACCGACACAGGUAGGCGAGGAGAGGAUCCACAGGCGAGCGGGAGAACCCUCAUUAAGGAACUCGGCAAAAUGACUCCGUAACUUCGGGAGAAGGAGUGCCGAAAGGCCGCAGAGAAGAGACCCAAGCGACUGUUUACCAAAAACACAGGUCUCUGCUAAGUCGGAAGACGAAGUAUAGGGGCUGACGCCUGCCCGGUGCUGGAAGGUUAAGGGGAAGUGUGAGAGCACUGAACCGAAGCCCCAGUGAACGGCGGCCGUAACUAUAACGGUCCUAAGGUAGCGAAAUUCCUUGUCGGGUAAGUUCCGACCCGCACGAAAGGCGUAACGACUUGGGCGCUGUCUUGAUGAGGGGCCCGGUGAAAUUGUAGUACUCGUGAAGAUGCGAGUUACCCGCGAUUGGACAGAAAGACCCCGUGGAGCUUUACUGUAGCCUGUCACUGGAUUUUGGUAAUUCUUGUACAGGAUAGGUGGGAGACGGAGAAGGUAGGGCGCCAGCCUUACUGGAGUCGGCGUUGGGAUACCACCCUGGGAUUACCGGAAUUCUAACCUAUAGCCGUGGAACCGGCGUAGGGACAAUGGCAGGUGGGCAGUUUGACUGGGGCGGUCGCCUCCUAAAGGGUAACGGAGGCGCCCAAAGGUUACCUCAGCGCGGACGGGAAUCGCGCGAGAGAGUGCAAAGGCAGAAGGUAGCCUGACUGCGAGAGAGACAUCUCGAGCAGGGACGAAAGUCGGGCUUAGUGAUCCGGCGGCAGUGAGUGGGAACGCCGUCGCUCAACGGAUAAAAGCUACCCCGGGGAUAACAGGCUGAUCUCCCCCAAGAGUCCACAUCGACGGGGAGGUUUGGCACCUCGAUGUCGGCUCAUCGCAUCCUGGGGCUGAAGUAGGUCCCAAGGGUUGGGCUGUUCGCCCAUUAAAGCGGUACGCGAGCUGGGUUCAGAACGUCGUGAGACAGUUCGGUCCCUAUCCGUCGCGGGCGAAGGAAACUUGAGAGGCACUGCCCCUAGUACGAGAGGACCGGGGUGGACGAACCGAUGGUGUACCAGUUGCACCGCCAGGUGCACAGCUGGGUAGCCAAGUUCGGAGGGGAUAAACGCUGAAAGCAUCUAAGCGUGAAGCCCGCCUCAAGAUUAGGUUUCCCACCCGGCACUCAACUAUACUUACUGGAGGAAGGCAAGAUGUAUUAUGUGUAUGUCCUGGCAAAUGAAAAAGGAAAGAUAUAUAUAGGCUAUACGUCUAAUAUAAAGGAAAGGUAUUUAGCGCAUCAACGAAAAGAAGUAAAGAGUACAAGAGAAGGAAAAUGGAGAUUAGUAUACUAUGAAGCAUAUAGAGAUAAAAAAGAUGCGUUGAUAAGGGAGAAACAUUUAAAAAAGUCAGGACAAGGGCGUAGAUGGCUAAAAGAGAGGAUAAAGAAUAGUCUUUCCACUAGUGAGUAGAGUUGAGUGCCGGGGUAAGACACCUCGAAGACCACGAGGUAGAUAGGCCGGGGGUGUAAGAGUGGAAACACUCUUAGCUGACCGGUACUAAUCAGUCGAGGACUUGACCGA